RNAcentral lists this ribosomal RNA (253 nucleotides) under uncultured bacterium. RNAcentral describes it as "partial 16S ribosomal RNA". It matches the Rfam family "Bacterial small subunit ribosomal RNA", at positions 524 to 776 of the family's 1533-position model. The record is from RNAcentral.
UACAGAGGUCUCGAGCGUUGUUCGGAUUCAUUGGGCGUAAAGGGCGCGUAGGCGGCGGGGUAAGUCUGGUGUGAAAUCUCGGAGCUCAACUCCGAAAUUGCACUGGAUACUGCUCUGCUAGAGGGCUGGAGAGGAGAUCGGAAUUCACGGUGUAGCAGUGAAAUGCGUAGAUAUCGUGAGGAAGACCAGUGGCGAAGGCGGAUCUCUGGGCUGGUACUGACGCUGAGGAGCGAAAGCGUGGGGAGCGAACAGG